Molecule: ribosomal RNA, 412 nt
Filed under: uncultured Rhizophagus
Lineage: Eukaryota; Fungi; Glomeromycota; Glomeromycetes; Glomerales; Glomeraceae
Description: partial 28S ribosomal RNA
Source: RNAcentral
GAGAGUUAAACAGUACGUGAAAUUGUUGAAAGGGAAACGAUUGAAGCCAGUCGUACCUUCGGGUAAUCAGCCUUUCGGGUGCGAUUCUGUGGAGUGUGAGGAGUUAAACACCUUCAUGUUUUGCAUAUUCGUACUCUUGGGUGUACUUGCCCGUGUGGUUGGUUAACAUCAAUUUUGGUGGUCAUAAAAUGACUGGAGGAAUGUAGCUUCGAUCUUGUAUUGAAGUGUUAUAGCCUUCGGUAGAUGUGAUGAUCGAGAUUGAGGAUUGCAACGGAUACCCUUCGGGGCUACCUGUCUGAUCUCUGAUCGUUGCUUUGGUGCCGAAAGCUUGCUUACGGUUAUCAAAGUCGAUGGUCAAUAGGUUAGAACGGGUUAAAUUCGUUAAGGAUGUUGACGUAAUGGCUUUAAACGA